This 351-nucleotide long non-coding RNA is filed under the name Fukomys damarensis (Damara mole-rat). RNAcentral's name for it is "lncRNA (ENSFDAG00000025734.1)". Lineage: Eukaryota; Metazoa; Chordata; Mammalia; Rodentia; Bathyergidae. The record is from RNAcentral.
CCCUCUUUCCAUCCAAAUUAUUACUGAGGUAUCUUUGCUUUGUCAGUGAUUGGAUUUCUGUGGGCCACUUUGCGGCUUGUCACCCAUCCACCAUCGUUUCUGUCCUCCGAGUCGAGCAGAAACCUCAUCGUGACUCUUAAAGAACAGAGAGAGGAUUAGGCCUGACUGAAGGGGAUAGGCCUCCUUCAGGAAAGCAAGGAUGGUUGCAUCAAAAUGUCAUUAAUAGAAGCUUCCACUAGCCAUCAUGCAGGGCACUGUGCUCAGUAGUUUGCACACAUCAUGUGGCAUUCCUUUUACAGACCAUGAUAGAGGAGAGAAGUGGAAUCCAGUAAUUAAUUAUAGCAUCAGAAC